Molecule: long non-coding RNA, 1769 nt
Organism: Ctenopharyngodon idella (grass carp)
Lineage: Eukaryota; Metazoa; Chordata; Actinopteri; Cypriniformes; Xenocyprididae
Exons: 6
Source: RefSeq, a predicted model, not a curated record
AUUAUGACCACCUUCCUAAUGUUGUGUCCUAACGCCGCCAUCUUGUGGGUGUUUGGAGAAUUGCGCGCAGGAUCGCCAUCACAGCGCAUCUGAGGGGAGACGAGACAACUUCGUGCACAGGAGCAGAAGGUGUCAGAAGAAGGGCAAAGUUGUGUGAUAAGGGGUACUUUUCAAGAUGGUUCAGACACAGACAGAUGCAGAGACUCGCACCUCCAAAGAUCAUUACUCCACUUCGUCUCAAACAGUCCGCAAACCAACCUGGAUGAUUAUUAGUCUGGUGAUCAUGUUGGCAGCAAUUAUAUUACAUAUCUUGAUCAACCAGCAGCUGGAGAUCACUGAGCUGAAGAGGACAAACACUGAGCUAAACAAUCAGCUGGGGAAGAUCUCAUACAUUGGAAAGGGACUGGAUUUUCUAAGAGUCAUACACAAUUUAAUUUCCUUAUUUAAUUAAAAAUUUCUGAGAGACGAAAUACACGACUACAGCAUUUUGCAUUAAAGGUAGAAUGAAAUAUAUGACAAAUGCAGACUCCUUCAUGACCCAUAAAAUUAUAAAAAUGUGUUCUCAUCUCGUUCAGCAGAAGUAUAUUUCAUUCAAAAUGCUUUGUGUUUUGUCAAUAAAAUGUUCUCAAAUGAACCAAGAAAUUAUGUGGAAUCAGUUGAUGUACCAUCAAAAUGUUUGCAGAAGAGGGUUAAGAAUGUUUUGUGAAUUCAGCGUUAUUAUAGACAUUAUCACAUCUUACAGCUCUUUAUUUAGUAGGUUAUUUGCUUGAAAAAAUACACCUCCACUCUUUUCUCUGUUGUCUUUUAUAAAAGCUUUUUAAUAUUUAUAAUAUCCCAUAUCUAUAUGUUUAUAUUAAGUGUUGUUUUGAACAUCAGCACUAUUGCAAAAGUGAAGCCUACUGCUUUUAUACAACAGUGCAGAGCUGAAAACACAUAGGCUAUAUCUGUAUAUGGAUGUGUGCCUACAUUUUUUUUUAACAACUUUUUCCACUUUUGAUGUUUUUUCUAGCCAGAAUUUUAAAUAUUUGAUCAGUAAUCACCAACGCUUGUUCUAUUUUGUUGUCGAUAGGCCUAAUUAAACCAUUAUGCUGCCUCAGAUGUCUCUGAAAUCAUUUUCGUGAUGUACUUUGUGCACAAACGCUGCCUGCAAAGUCAUUGCCUGACAGGAAACAGCUUUCAGAUGCAGUCCCUGAAUGAAUCAGCUGUUUGACUGAAUGAUUGAAUGAUUCACUCGUUAAGACAACUACUUGUCGCCACCAACUAAUUUAAUUUCUUUUUUCCCCAGUCAUUUCAUUUUUCUACAUUUAUAUGUUGCGCCUGCAAUAAAUCGUUCCUGCGGAAUGGAGAGGAAGAUCACUGAGCUGAAGAGUGAAAACACUGAGCUAAACAAUCAGUUGUAGGAGCUCUUACGUUUAAAAAUAAUUGUGGAUAAUAAAAAAAAAAAAAGAUCAAAAAUAUGUUUUCAUUCCUUACAAAAGAAAAUCCUAAAUGAUGAAAUACAUGACUGCAGUGAAACACAUCUAUAACUGCAUGAGAGGAUGAUAUGAGCUGUAAGAUUCCCGCUGACAUGUUGAUAGUUUUACUUUAGUUUUAUUUUCCCUCCCUUUGAUGUAUUAGAAAAGAUUUGUGAUUUUGAUUUUUCUUAUGAUUUGUAUUUUUAUGAUAUGUUAAUAAAUCUCUGAUUCUGUAUACUAAUGAAAAAAAAUGUGUCCAAAAAAUGUUUUAAUAAAAUGUUCCCAAAUGAACCAAGAAAUUAUGUGAAAUCAUUU